RNAcentral lists this ribosomal RNA (464 nucleotides) under Vreelandella stevensii. Its description in RNAcentral is "partial 16S ribosomal RNA". It matches the Rfam family "Bacterial small subunit ribosomal RNA", at positions 338 to 794 of the family's 1533-position model. Lineage: Bacteria; Pseudomonadati; Pseudomonadota; Gammaproteobacteria; Oceanospirillales; Halomonadaceae. The record is from RNAcentral.
CCUACGGGAGGCAGCAGUGGGGAAUAUUGGACAAUGGGCGAAAGCCUGAUCCAGCCAUGCCGCGUGUGUGAAGAAGGCCUUCGGGUUGUAAAGCACUUUCAGUGGGGAAGAAAGCCUUGGGGCUAAUACCCUCGAGGAAGGACAUCACCCACAGAAGAAGCACCGGCUAACUCCGUGCCAGCAGCCGCGGUAAUACGGAGGCUGCGAGCGUUAAUCGGAAUUACUGGGCGUAAAGCGCGCGUAGGCGGUCUGAUAAGCCGGUUGUGAAAGCCCCGGGCUCAACCUGGGAACGGCAUCCGGAACUGUCAGGCUAGAGUGCAGGAGAGGAAGGUAGAAUUCCCGGUGUAGCGGUGAAAUGCGUAGAGAUCGGGAGGAAUACCAGUGGCGAAGGCGGCCUUCUGGACUGACACUGACGCUGAGGUGCGAAAGCGUGGGUAGCAAACAGGAUUAGAUACCCCAGUAGU